This 253-nucleotide ribosomal RNA is filed under the name uncultured bacterium. RNAcentral describes it as "partial 16S ribosomal RNA". It matches the Rfam family "Bacterial small subunit ribosomal RNA", at positions 524 to 776 of the family's 1533-position model. The record is from RNAcentral.
UACGUAGGGGGCAAGCGUUGUCCGGAAUCAUUGGGCGUAAAGCGCGUGUAGGCGGUCCGGUAAGUCCGCUGUGAAAGUCGGGGGCUCAACCCUCGAAUGCCGGUGGAUACUGUCGGGCUAGAGUGCGGAAGAGGCGAGUGGAAUUCCUGGUGUAGCGGUGAAAUGCGCAGAUAUCAGGAGGAACACCUAUUGCGAAGGCAGCUCGCUGGGACGUAACUGACGCUGAGACGCGAAAGCGUGGGGAGCAAACAGG